This is a long non-coding RNA of Salvia splendens (bonfire salvia), 1770 nucleotides long. RefSeq lists it as uncharacterized. The transcript has 4 exons. The record is from RefSeq and is a predicted model, not a curated record. Lineage: Eukaryota; Viridiplantae; Streptophyta; Magnoliopsida; Lamiales; Lamiaceae.
GGUCGGGUGAUAAAUGGAAACGAGCAUGUUCAUAAGGAUGGAAAACAUGGCGCUAAUGCUAUCCUUUUACCAGCAGGUGUAAGUGAAAAUGUUAAGGGAAAUCUGAUAGAAUGUAGAAUUGCUACAACAACUUAUGAUGAACAUACCAAGAUAGACAUCAAUGAGGGCACAAGACAGGGGAAUGAUUCAACAUUACCAUCGAAGGUGAAAGAAAAUGAAGGCUGUAAGCAGAGAGAUCAGACAUGCAUCACUAAAACAUUCGAGUCAAUUGCUGAUCUUGGCAUCGUAGGUGCCAAUGCAGAUCAUCUCAUCUUUUCAGGUGAUGAUAAAGAGAAAAAAAAGGAUCAAGAACAGGAAGACGAAGGUGAGACAGAGACAGAGAACACAAAAUAAAAUGGGAUCCAUUGCCAAAGUCCAACAUAGACUUCAUACAACAAGUUACGAUGAACAUAUAAAGGUAGACAUCAAUGAGGGCAUGAGACCAGGGAUUGAUUCAACAUUACCCACGAGCAUGAAAGAAAAUGAAAGCUGUGGGCAGAAAGAUCAGACAUGCGUCACUAAACCUUUCAAGUCAAUCACUGAUCAUCUUGUCAUUUCAUGUGAUGGGGCUUCAAAGAGUUUAAGUGAAAAGAAGCAAGUGCUUCAAACCGGGUUUUCUCAACCUCUUCAUGCAAAAGAGCUUGCUGACUUGAGCACUUAAGAAAAGGAUUUAGGUUCAAGCGAUGACCGUAUUAAAAGCAGAGGACCAGAGGACAAAGUGGAGCAGACUUGUGCAAGUCGUCAAAGCAGAGACAAAUAUGUAGAUUACUCAGUUGCUCAACCAAUCGCCAUUCCAGUUUGGAGGGGAAGUUUCAAAGUUAGGAAUUCUAAGCAUGACAGUAUUGAUGAGCUUGUUGCUCACAUUUCGAACAAAGCAUGCCAUAAGGUAUAUGCAGAAGCCUCUCAAUUUCAGCCAAUCCUCCAUCUUGAAAUGCUUCCAAAAUCCGACAUAUGGCCAAAAAGUUUUCAGAAAUCAGAACCAAAUGGCGAUAGCAUCGCACUCUAUUUCUUUCCAUCCAAGAUACGGAAAUGAUUCAUAAAGAACUUGCUUUCAAAGGGCUUGUGCAGAAUGCCGAGCUAUUGAUUUUUACUUCGACAGAAUUGCCUCUGCGCUACUGGAGAUUUCAAAACAAAUAUUAUCUGUGGGGUGUAUUUAGAGGAAAACCGGCUGCCCCAUCGAAUCAUCCUUCACGCAUAGGAUAAGUCGCUGAGCUUCCCUAGACAAGAAAGAGAUGUGAUGACCGGAGCCCUACUCAGUCCACAGAUUGAUUCUUCUACUAGUGGUUUAGGUGCCUCCUAGGCUUGUAUGUCAAGUGCUGGCCAUGAAAAUCGUUCGUGGCUGUUUUUCGAAGGCGAGAAACUUCAGCAUUUGAUGACAUAUUUUCCCAUGGUUUUUUUCUUGAUCAGAUUUCCACUCAAAAGAACAUCAAAAAAUGCUACACUUAGUGAAAAUUAAUCUUAUAUACUAGUAGUCUAUUAGUUAGUUAUAAGUUAAUUGAUGGUGCAGUAACUGCAGUUGUACAUUAAGAGGUUGCAGGAUCCAAGCCCCUAGCUCAAGUGGUUGAGGAGGGUGGCAAGGAUACCGCGCCAUCCUGGAGGUCUCGAGUUCGACUCUUGGAUGACGCAACUUGGGAUUAAUUUCCCAUGUGGGCCUAAACAAGGCUUGUUGCCUUGGGGCUUUGCAAGCUUACGGGCCUGGACCCGUCUGAGGGUGGACAACUUAUGGGCCUG